UAUUCCAUUAUAAACAAUCUCUGUUUAGAGGUGACCUAGCCCUAUUCCAUUAUAAACAACCUCUGUUUAGAAGUGACCUAGCCCUAUUCCAUUAUAAACAACCUCUGUUUAGAGUUGACCUAGCCCUAUUCCAUUAUAAACAACCUCUGUCUAGAGGUGACCUAGCCCUAUUCCAUUAUAAACAACCUCUGUCUAGAGGUGACCUAGCCCUAUUUCAUUAUGAACAAAAGUUGAACUUAGAGAACUUAGAGCCACUGUUACUUUUAUUGUAAAUUAUUUAACUUUUCAUUUUUAUUGUAAAUGAUUAAAAUCUUACUUUUAUUAAUUAAAUUGUACUUUAGCGUAAAU
This is a long non-coding RNA of Oncorhynchus tshawytscha (Chinook salmon), 348 nucleotides long. The record is from Ensembl. NCBI's taxonomy places the organism in Eukaryota, Metazoa, Chordata, Actinopteri, Salmoniformes, Salmonidae.